GCCGUACAAAAACAAGUUCCUUGCCUCCAUGGGCUGCGGUUGGCUCUGUAUCAGGAGGCUGAAUAAUCCGUGAGGAGCAAUGCAAUG
Candidatus Regiella insecticola LSR1 is the source of this 87-nucleotide regulatory RNA element. It matches the Rfam family "RpsF leader". Rfam says of the family: Conserved and widely distributed to many bacterial species RNA structure. It precedes operon containing rpsF, which encodes ribosomal protein S6. Lineage: Bacteria; Pseudomonadati; Pseudomonadota; Gammaproteobacteria; Enterobacterales; Enterobacteriaceae. The record is from Rfam.